AACGAACGCUGGCGGCAGGCCUAACACAUGCAAGUCGAGCGAGCAUUUCGGUGCUAGCGGCGGACGGGUGAGUAACGCGUGGGAACGGGCCCUUUUCUGCGGAAUAGUCCUGGGAAACGGGGGGUAAUACCGCAUACGCCCUUUUGGGGAAAGAUUUAUCGGAGAAGGAUCGGCCCGCGUUGGAUUAGGUAGUUGGUUGGGUAAUGGCCCACCAAGCCGACGAUCCAUAGCUGGUUUGAGAGGAUGAUCAGCCACACUGGGACUGAGACACGGCCCAGACUCCUACGGGAGGCAGCAGUGGGGAAUCUUAGACAAUGGGGGCAACCCUGAUCUAGCCAUGCCGCGUGAGUGAUGAAGGCCUUAGGGUUGUAAAGCUCUUUCAGCUGGGAAGAUAAUGACGGUACCAGCAGAAGAAGCCCCGGCUAACUCCGUG
This 433-nucleotide ribosomal RNA is filed under the name uncultured bacterium. RNAcentral's name for it is "partial 16S ribosomal RNA". It matches the Rfam family "Bacterial small subunit ribosomal RNA", at positions 29 to 507 of the family's 1533-position model. The record is from RNAcentral.